Molecule: non-coding RNA, 4483 nt
Organism: Anas platyrhynchos (mallard)
Lineage: Eukaryota; Metazoa; Chordata; Aves; Anseriformes; Anatidae
Source: RefSeq, a predicted model, not a curated record
ACAGUGUUUGGUGGAUGAUGGUCUGUGCUUGGGAGUGCACACAUAAAACUUCUUUUGCCUUUGGAUUGUCCUGGUAUGUUUAUAAGUCAGGGGAUAGUUUUAUUGAAAAGAUUCAUUUAUUGGAGUAAAUUAAAUCCAAGCAUGUAGAAGAUAUUUAAACUUUGGAACAGCAGAGACCAUUUGUAAAUAGAAGCAAUCAAAGCCGACAGUGUUUAGACAUUCGUGGAGACAUCAAGGGACAGCUUGUAAGAUAAUGUAUGAGAAUUAUACAGUGGUCUUGUCAUCAGUGACACAUGACUGUUUACAAUAAAGUCCUCUUCUGAAACUUUUUGAACUGUUGUGCUGUUCAAAAUAACCUUGCUCAAUAAAAGAGAGGAAUCAACUGUCAUUAAGUAUGAAUACGAGCAACGAACACAAAGCUUUAUGCAAAAUCAACUUAUUUGUAAAAACUCAAAAUAAUGUUGCUAUAUCUGCUAAACUGUUCCUUGUAAUACCUUUCUGUCUGGGUUAUCUGAGAGAAUAAGAAUGACCUUAUUGAGUGUGAACAGAAAAGACUAAGUCCUUGGUUGUGUAAAUCAGUGUUCAAGUGUCAUCAUGUUUAACACCAGAACCACUGUACAGGACACUGUGUAGCAAUCUGCCAUAAAUGUGACAUGAACAGUGUUAGCUAAAACCUCACUGACGGUUACAGCUUGACAUAACAUGUCACAUUAUGACAUAAUGCAAGAACUGAACAGGAAUAGUUGUUAUCAGUAUCAGGGAAAACCAAUUUCAUAGUAAUGCAGCUGUUCCUCUAAUUAGUGCACUGAAACAUUAUAUUUUUUCCUUGUUCAGAUUGUCAUAAUGCUGAACAGUUUCAUUACAACAGGCAGAAUAUACCUGGGUAUUGAAAACUAGAUGUUUAAAAAUGGAAACUGCGUAUUUUUGUAAAUUUAACAAUGGAACAAAUGUCAUCAUGCUUUAUAACAGAGAGGAUGUUCUGUGUUGAACAGAAAUAAAUGAUCUGAAUAGUUUUUUUCCUGAGAAACACCUUUGCAUGCUUCACUCCCAAAUGUUUUUUUCUUUCCUCUUUCUCUGAAUUUCUGCUUCAGCACUCCUCUGUCCCACUUCAUUGCUAAUUACUUCCAACAUUUUCUCGGCUAUUGCACUUUUUCCAGUUUUGGACCUGCCCUGACCCCUCAAGCUGCUUGCCUGCUGCUGGCUUUCUCACCUCUGCUCCUCCACGGUGAUGCUCACUUGGCUUGCUCAUCUAAAUAACAGCUUUUACAGUUUGGAAGAAGUCUGAGGUUUGUGAUACAGGUAAAUACCUAUAGCUGGAAUGAGGUGGAUGUCUGCUGUGUUACUCUCCAAAAAUAUAACUCUCUACUGAACCACAGAUUGGUAUUGCAAGACCUGUCCUUGGUUCUCAGUUCCUGAAGGCACCUGGAAGCACCCAUGGGUAUGCCUGCCUUUCCAUUCAUAGCGAGCCUUCAAACAGACCUGAAGCCUGUGGAGAUGUUUGGAUACCAAUGUAAAUGAAGCAACACAGUGCAAAUGGCACUCAAAAUAAUGUCUGUCAUCCCUCGGAAGGUGUAGUGCUUCGGUAUUUGGAAGUGAAAGAUUCUUUAAGAGUUAAAAGCAGUGCAUAUGUAUCCAAGGAUACAGUUCCUUACCUGAAAUAUCUGAAAAUUAUUCUGAGAAAUCUGAAGAACCUGUUGUUCUAUUUCUUCUGUCUUUUGUCAGGUAGAGGACAGGUUUGAGAACUUACUACAGUUUUUUUCUAGUGUGAAGGCCAAUGACGGCCCAAUCCACUGCCUGUUCAUUCUCCAUAAGUAUGCUAAGUCAUUUUAUAAAACUAAACAUAAAGGCUAGAAAAUAUUAUAGGGAUUUUAAGAAAGCAUUUGUGAACAUGAAGCUGUUGUUUGCCAGCUGCCAAGAGUUUUGUGGGUCGGCCAUCUGCCUCCACCAGCAGCAGGAACAAAAUACGACGGGGUCAGGCAGUAAUGGGGCUGCUGCCGCUUUGCAAUUUCUUGGUGACAGUGAUAGAUUUUAAAACAAAUUGGUGCUUAGGUUCCAGAGGAAAACUCCUCAGCAGAUUACAGCACUAUCAAGAGGGGUCAGAAUCGGAGCCAAAUCUGUUUGACGGUGUCUUGCUACCUCCUACCUGGUGCUGCUGCACAGUGUCUACAAUGCCCAGGUGGCACUGACAGUUCUAAUGCUGAAAUACUGCCCCAGCUCCAUCCUACACACAUUUCAGGACAUUUUUUUGAUGCUCUUCCUGUAGAUGGGAAAAAGAAGUAGAGGAAUCCUAUCACAGAUGAAGUUGUUUGCCCUGUCCCCGCCAGCUAUUCAUUAUAUCACAGGCCAAAACCAAUGAAUAGGAAAAUAGAUAUCCUGUCUCAUCUGGUCAAGACCCAAAUUGUCAGAAAGUUUACCUUGAUGAAAAACAAACCCUCUGAGGACAUCCAGUCCUGGAACACAUUCACUGGCAAAAACACGGAAUCUGGAGACCUUUAACUGGCAAAAGGACCCCACAGAUGCUAAUGGAUAAUUUGUGAUUUAGAGAUGAAAAGAGCAAGCUGUUGGAAAUCUGUUUGUGGUACAGCUGGGGCACCAAGCUGAGACCUGCUUACCCACUCCCACAUGUUCUUUUAAAGACUGUCAGUCCAUACACAGUUAUCUGAUACAGUAAUGAAGUUAUCUGAUAAGUAAUGAAUUAGCCAUCACCAAAAAUCUUCCAGACCCUAACCCAAAAAGCAGAGGAUAUUAAAGAAGGCACCUGGGAAGCCAUGGGCUAAGUGAAAAUAUUGACUACACCUAGGAAAGAGGUAGCUAUUUGGUGAAAAAAUAAAUCUGACAUCAAUGCAAACCCAAAUUGUACUAUUGCCAUGUUAUAACAGCACAAUUAGACUGGAAUUAAUUACUUUUAUCUCUGUAGAGAAGACAGCACUGAUGGUUGCUAUACUUAGGGGUGCAUAUCCAUACUGUUGAACCAUGCUACAGCAAACAGACAAUCAAAAGAAAAUUAAACCUGAAUGCUGAGAUGACCCCGAGAUUGGGGCUUCGCUGGCAUUGUCUGUCCCAUCACUCAGCAGGGAGAUCAUCUGCUCGCAGGUUACCUGCAGUUCCCAGUGUUCCCAGAGACCCAAAAACUGACUUCUGAGAAUAAAUUGCUGCCAAGGGUAUGGAGAAAACAUCUUCUCUUGCACAGGUUUGAAUUUAGCAUUAAAUAAGACAAUCCUGAACACUGUAUUUUUUAACCUGCUUAUGAUAACUCCAUCUGCUUUGCUGUGAAACUGCUGGAAGCACAUAACAGAAAUUACAUGCUGGUUGCAAAAGGAGAUGGCACCAUUGAGCAUCUUGUUACUGGUAAGUUGAAGUAGACUAAUACUUAAAGUAUCCUUGGGCUUCAGCUGCCAAUCUCUUUAAUCAGAUCUACUGUCUUUUGCUGUCAUUUCUACAAGUACUACAGGUCUAAAUUAGAGGCUGGAUCUCUUCACGUUGUCAUUAAAGAACUGUGAAAGAGCAAUGGCCACAGUAGACAAUGAUUAUUUUGACAAGGGGAUCAUAUUAUACCUCUGUACUCUCCCAGAGCAAAUCAUACUUGAUCAUUAUAAUUGAGAGGUGCAUUUCUUCAGACUGAUGACUUCUAUCUUUGUAGCAUUUCUUUUCAGCCUAGAUUAUUACUUGUUUCCUUCCUUCACUGCUACUAAGCACUACACUAGCAGGUAUAGAGUUUUAUCCUUUGCCAUCCCUAUAAUCUGAUGUUAUUUCCACAAGAUAGCCUUUUGAAUAAGGUAUUUCAAUGUCAGUGAUUUGAUUCCUUUACCACUAUUUACAUAAAUAAAAUAAGCCAUAACAAUCCAAUAUAGAGCGUACAUGACUGCAUUCACUCCCUUUGAUCCCUAAACAUUUGAAAUGUGAUUCCUUUCCUGUGACAGUACAGAUACCGUCAAACAGAAACAUCUCUUGGCUGAAUUCAGUACGGGCCUAUCACUUUUAACAACUUUCACUUGAGAAAAAAAAAUAUUAAUAAUAACCUUAUUCCUUGCAAAGUGAUGAGUGGAACCAUUUUUGUGGCUUAAAUUAUUGAUUGCCCUUAAGCAUCUCAUUUCAAACAUUUUCAAAAGGGAAGCAAACAAGAAUGUAUUUUACAAAUAAAAAUUAGUUUAAUGAAAAUUUCCAUAAGACAAAUUGAUUAUGAUUCUCACUUGGUUUUGAUUAGAAAUGUUUCAAAAUGAUUUUGGAAACUAUUUUUCUAGAUAUAGUCCUGAACUCUUUAUUUACUGAAUUUUGUAAUGUUCAUAUGGAUGGAAACUAAAAGAGAAAGUUGAUUAGAGAAUGACUGAGUUUUUCUAAAACGGAGAUUUACUGAAAUGGAUUCUUACUUGCUAAGACUGCAGAAUAUAUUUAUAUAUGUGAUUCACCAUACGGAUGUAGGAAAAUGUUCAAAUAUUUGUGUAUCAAGUUUCAGACUUUCAUAAAUGUUUGCUACAGCAAGUAA